GUGGUGGCAGCCUGACUGUUUAUUUCUCCUUUUUGCUUGUGAUUGUGUUUCCCCCUGGUGUUUUGGCCUGCCUGUUUGUGUCUCCUGCUUUCCCCCUGCGUGUGCUCUCCCUCCCUCUCUCUCUCCCUCCCUCCCUCCUCUCUCUCCCUUCCUCUCUCUCUCCCUCCCUCUCUCUCUCCCUCCGCUCCUGAGCCCAGCCAACGAGCCGCACCUGCACCUCGUCAGCCUCCUCCUCUGCCUGCCACACCUGCCAGCGAUCAGCCUCAUCUCCGACAGCACUUCUACCCGGGUUCUCCAGUCGACCCCUGCUUGAUCGUCGUUGCUCCUUACCCGGUCAACUCGCCUCCGUCCUCUGCUCCGUCAGCUGGGCUCGCCACCCUGCCCUCUCCCCUCGGACCUCUUCCAUGGCGUCCUCCUGUGCCUCCUUGCUUCCUCGGUCCCCAGUGCCCCCGGCUCCCUUGUCUCAGUCUCCUCAGUUCCCCGUGUCCGUGUUUCCCCGGCGUCCGCCUCUUCCUCACCUCCACUCCCUCAACCCCUUUUCCCCUUCAAUAAAGCCUGUUCUUCCUGA
Micropterus salmoides (largemouth bass) is the source of this 568-nucleotide long non-coding RNA. RefSeq lists it as uncharacterized. The transcript is spliced from 2 exons. NCBI's taxonomy places the organism in Eukaryota, Metazoa, Chordata, Actinopteri, Centrarchiformes, Centrarchidae. The record is from RefSeq and is a predicted model, not a curated record.